RNAcentral lists this ribosomal RNA (116 nucleotides) under Clostridioides difficile M120. RNAcentral describes it as "CDIFFM120_01139". The record is from RNAcentral. Lineage: Bacteria; Bacillati; Bacillota; Clostridia; Peptostreptococcales; Peptostreptococcaceae.
AAGUUAAGCUCUCUAGCGCUGAUGGUACUUGGUGGGAAACUGCCUGGGAGAGUAGGACGUAGCCACGUAAUCUUUUUUUGUUGUAUUAAAUUUAAUAAACCUACAAUUAUUAUAUG